CCUACGGGAGGCAGCAGUGAGGAAUAUUGGUCAAUGGACGAGAGUCUGAACCAGCCAAGUAGCGUGAAGGAUGACUGCCCUAUGGGUUGUAAACUUCUUUUAUAUGGGAAUAAAAUGUUCCACGUGUGGGAUUAUGGAUGUACCAUAUGAAUAAGGAUUGGCUCAACGCGUGCCAGGAGCCGCGGUAAUACGGAGGAGUCGAGUGUUAUCCGGAUUUAUUGGGUUUAAAGGGAGCGUUGGUGGGUUGUUAAGGCAGGUGUGAAAGUUUGCGGGUCAACCGUAAAAUUGCAGUUGAAACUGGCAGUCUUGAGUGCAGUAGAGGUAGGCGGAAUUCGUGGUGUAGCGGUGAAAUGCUUAGAUAUCCCGAAGAACUCCGGUGGCGAAGGCAGCUCGCUGGACUGCAACUGACACUGAGGCUCGAAAGUGUGGGUAUCAAACAGGAUUAGAUACCCUAGUAGUC
This 460-nucleotide ribosomal RNA is filed under the name uncultured bacterium. RNAcentral describes it as "partial 16S ribosomal RNA". It matches the Rfam family "Bacterial small subunit ribosomal RNA", at positions 338 to 795 of the family's 1533-position model. The record is from RNAcentral.